Molecule: ribosomal RNA, 329 nt
Filed under: uncultured eukaryote
Lineage: Eukaryota
Description: partial 18S ribosomal RNA
Rfam family: Eukaryotic small subunit ribosomal RNA
Source: RNAcentral
CCCUUAGAUGUUCUGGGCCGCACGCGCGCUACACUGAUGCAUUCAACGAGUCUAAAACCUGCUCUGAUAGGGGUGGGUAAUCUUUUGAAUGUGCAUCGUGAUUGGGAUAGAUGAUUGCAAUUUUUCAUCUUCAACGAGGAAUGCCUAGUAAACGCAAGUCAUCAGCUUGCAUUGAUUACGUCCCUGCCCUUUGUACACACCGCCCGUCGCCCCUACCGAUUGAAUGAUCCGAUGAAUAUCAUGGAUUGAGGAUGCAAGUAGGUUAGCCUAUCUUCAUCUUCGAGAAGUGAAGUAAAUCUUAUCAUUUAGAGGAAGGAGGAGUCGUAACA